RNAcentral lists this transfer RNA (74 nucleotides) under Prevotella sp. CAG:1092. It matches the Rfam family "tRNA". From Rfam's summary of the family: Transfer RNA (tRNA) molecules are approximately 80 nucleotides in length. Their secondary structure includes four short double-helical elements and three loops (D, anti-codon, and T loops). Further hydrogen bonds mediate the characteristic L-shaped molecular structure. tRNAs have two regions of fundamental functional importance: the anti-codon, which is responsible for specific mRNA codon recognition, and the 3' end, to which the tRNAs corresponding amino acid is attached (by aminoacyl-tRNA synthetases). tRNAs cope with the degeneracy of the genetic code in two manners: having more than one tRNA (with a specific anti-codon) for a particular amino acid; and 'wobble' base-pairing, i.e. permitting non-standard base-pairing at the 3rd anti-codon position. Lineage: Bacteria; Pseudomonadati; Bacteroidota; Bacteroidia; Bacteroidales; Prevotellaceae. The record is from Rfam by way of RNAcentral.
UACUUCGUAGCUCAAAUGGUUAGAGUAUUUAAUUAGUAAUUAAAAUGUCGUUGGUUCGAAUCCAACCGAGAUUC